RNAcentral lists this ribosomal RNA (908 nucleotides) under Readeriella callista. RNAcentral describes it as "LSU rRNA". It matches the Rfam family "Eukaryotic large subunit ribosomal RNA", at positions 36 to 963 of the family's 3401-position model. The record is from RNAcentral. Lineage: Eukaryota; Fungi; Ascomycota; Dothideomycetes; Mycosphaerellales; Mycosphaerellaceae.
UAGCAAAUCAUAAGCGGAGGAAAAGAAACCACCCGGGAUUGCCCUAGUAACGGCGAGUGAAGCGGCAACAGCUCAAAUUUGAAAUCUGGCGUCUUCGGCGUCCGAGUUGUAAUUUGCAGAGGGCGCUUUGGCAUUGGCAGCGGUCCAAGUUCCUUGGAACAGGACGUCACAGAGGGUGAGAAUCCCGUACGUGGUCGCUAGCCUUUACCGUGUAAAGCCCCUUCGACGAGUCGAGUUGUUUGGGAAUGCAGCUCUAAAUGGGAGGUAAAUUUCUUCUAAAGCUAAAUACUGGCCAGAGACCGAUAGCGCACAAGUAGAGUGAUCGAAAGAUGAAAAGCACUUUGGAAAGAGAGUUAAAAAGCACGUGAAAUUGUUGAAAGGGAAGCGCUUGCAGCCAGACUUGCCUGUAGUUGCUCAUCCGGGUUUCUACCCGGUGCACUCUUCUAUAGGCAGGCCAGCAUCAGUUUGGGCGGUUGGAUAAAGGUCUCUGUCAUGUACCUCUCUUCGGGGAGAACUUAUAGGGGAGACGACAUGCAACCAGCCUGGACUGAGGUCCGCGCAUCUGCUAGGAUGCUGGCGUAAUGGCUGUAAGCGGCCCGUCUUGAAACACGGACCAAGGAGUCUAACAUCUAUGCGAGUGUUUGGGUGUCAAGCCCGAGCGCGUAAUGAAAGUGAACGGAGGUGGGAACCUUUCGGGGUGCACCAUCGACCGAUCCUGAUGUCUUCGGAUGGAUUUGAGUAAGAGCAUAGCUGUUGGGACCCGAAAGAUGGUGAACUAUGCUUGAAUAGGGUGAAGCCAGAGGAAACUCUGGUGGAGGCUCGCAGCGGUUCUGACGUGCAAAUCGAUCGUCAAAUUUGGGCAUAGGGGCGAAAGACUAAUCGAACUAUCUAGUAGCUGGUUCCUGCCG